Molecule: non-coding RNA, 77 nt
Organism: Potamilus streckersoni
Lineage: Eukaryota; Metazoa; Mollusca; Bivalvia; Unionida; Unionidae
Source: the annotation of a GenBank genome assembly
GACCACUCCGGUGGCCUAGUGGUUGGAGCGUCCGUCUUGGAUGCGGGAAGUCCUGUGUUCGAUACCCGGACGAGUCA